Molecule: long non-coding RNA, 6002 nt
Organism: Brachypodium distachyon (stiff brome)
Lineage: Eukaryota; Viridiplantae; Streptophyta; Magnoliopsida; Poales; Poaceae
Exons: 3
Source: RefSeq, a predicted model, not a curated record
UCCCCUCCCCGCUGCUCGCUUGCGGUUGCGGCUCCUCUCAGCUCGCAGCCGCUUGCAUCCACGCAUUCCACCGCUCCACCGACCGCUCGCAUUCCGCCAGAAGCCGCUCAGCUCCGCCGGCCGCCGCUCGCGUUCCCGCUGCAUCCCUCUGUGGCCGUUAUUCAUCCAUCUCCACCUAUUUCAUCCCUAUGUGGCUCUAUUUCUGUUUUUUUUACUGGUCUAGAUUCUGUUUUUGUUUUCAGCCAGUGAUCUAUUGUGCAUCUAUUUCUGUUUUGCAUUUACAAUUGACAAGUGGAUUGCUGUGGUUAGUAAUACAUGUACUCCGUACAUGUCAGCCCUUUGGUGUUACUAUUACUCCCUCCGAUCUUAAAUUCUCGUCGUGAUUUUAGUUCAAAUUUGUACAUAUGCAUUUCCUAGAUAAUUCAUAAUUAUAUUCUGUGUUAUAGGAAUUGCAAGAGAGCUUGCUGUUUUUAACUUUCAUCGACUGAUUUGGUAUAGACUAGUGAAUUGUUGAUUAAAAAGCUCCGUUUACUGCAGUGAUCUUUUUUUUUUCUGCUUAAGGCGAUCAAAUAUGGAGACUUUGAGAUACCAUAGUCCACACUAUUGCACCAUCCUCAUUGUGUAAAUUUCCAAGCGAGUUUAAUAAUCAUGGUUCUGAUUCUUUCCUAGUCUUGUCUUUGGUACAUAUCAAAAUGAACGAGGUACAAUGUUCAGCGGAAGUCAUAUCAUAUAUAUAUCUCAAAAGUGUUGAUCCAAGGUCGAUGUUGUGUACCAAAAGAAUCGUAAGAAAUUUAAAGGUGUGUUUUGUCAGAAAUAUUUUGAGCCUUUCCAUUUUGAUCUUAUCUUUUGCACACCCAUUUGAUGCUGCUUGCAAUCUGAAGUACAAAAUACCGUAAAGAGAUUGCUGACUUCGGAAAGAAUUGAUUAUUAAGAGAUCUAGUGUAGUUGUAGUAUGUCAUACCUUUCAAAAAAUGUAUUGAGGCUUAGGCUACAGCACCUGUCCACUUUGACCUGGACAGGGCCUCUAAUUAACUCAUGUCCUAUUUGACCUUGCACUUAUCUUUGUCCCUUGGUUUCAUGUCUGUGUCUUAGACUUCAGUAUCCAUGUAUGACACUCUUUCUUAUCACAAUGACCAUGGUGGUAGUGCACAUGGUUUUGAGUCGGCGACUGGUCUCCAAGUCUGGACAGCGGGUGAGACGCUAGUCGGCGACUGGAACCCGUGAGCCGCCCGACUUGGUCCAGUAAGAGGCCGCAUGUCAGGAAAAAAAUUGGGGUUGUAUAUAGGUUGGGAAGAGGAAGGAAAGGGCAGGGAAGCGUCGGGAAAGUGCGGUGAAGACCCGCGAGCGACGAUGGUACCACAAUCGCCGCCCCAGGCUGGGGCCUUGACGGCGCUGCUUCUUCCUCUGGGCACCUCUGUUGCCUGGCUCCUAACUCCUCCCGUGCUCCAGAAGUCUUAGCCCGACACAGCCCGUGAGAUCUGUUGCCCCUUUUCUAAUUAAAGAAUGCUAAUUAGAGAGUGUGAGAGAUGCAAAGGCGGAUGGGGCACCCCUUGUCUCGUCUAUUUUUACAUUAGCAUAAUUUAUGUAAUAUACAAUCGAGUGUUGUAAUGGUUCCUUAACACAUGGAUAAUGAUAUAUGAUCAAGUCGUAUUUCUAAUGCAAACAGAUUGCCAGGCUAACGAAGUUAGCCAUACUUUGAAGUUGCUAUUCGCCGGACAUUCAAGUUAGGCUAUGGGGUGUAGAGCAUACCAUUAACAAAUAUACAGAGGACAAGAAAGUAAGAAAGACAACAAAUCAAAAUUAAUAUACUAAAAAGUGAAGAUAAAUUUUUGCAGUUUACAACAUGGUGAAGUUGUUCUUUUGUUAAGCGGUGGACAAAACAAGAACUCUAAGCCUGCAGGUCAAAACACAUUCUUGGGUUUGGGUCAAGAUUAGUUUGUUGUUGUAUUGUUCCUUGUUUAGCGGAGCAUCCAACUCAUGAUCUUCAAUUGCAGUCGAAGCUUCAAUUAUGAGAUAAUACAAACUUGUUCAAGUUUAAAAAUAUAUGAUAUAACCUUGUUGAAGGAAAAUCGAGUUUGGAAAUUAUUUUCAAUAAAAACGCGAUUCCUUGUACGUUUGUCCUUCAUACAAGUAUGGAUACAGAAAAAAAAUGUCUUUUCUUGGUAUAAAGUAAAUUAUAUCUCCUUCUCGUAUGUUAUUCUCAGCGUUCUCCAGAAAUAAUGGGAUUUUUAUAUUGCUUGUCGACUUCACAAAUUACUGAACAAUAUCCGGUUUCAAGAAAAGCUUCAUCGCCAGUCAUAUUAUUGAACUGGUUGCAGACAUGGCAGGGCAGAGUCUGUAGUAUAGAUCCAACUUAUCGACAAUCUGACAAAUAAAGACUAAUUGUCUGAGUGCAAAUUAUUUCAUAUUGAACUUACUACACAUAUUGUUCGAAAGAAUCUUUUUGCGUCUCAACAAUCUAGAAGCUCUUUAGAAUGUCUCUAAUAUGCAUAGCCCAUUUAAUAAAAGUUCUAAUAUGCUUUUAAAGAAGUGGGCCAAGUAUUAUUAGAGACAAGCCAAAAAACUUUUGGACUAUUGAGAUGCAAAAUGAUUCGUUCGAACACUAUGUAUUAUUAAUUAAAUUUGCAAUAAUUAGUUUUCAGAAAUUCGUUAUAGUUAUUAUUUAUUAGAUUGUUGGUAAGUUAGUUUCUUUUCUGCACAGUGUGCGCUGCCGUGCCUGCAGCCAAUUCAACAACAUGAUUAGUGAUGGAAUUGCUCUUGAAGCCAGAGACUUUGUUCGGUACUUUGUGGAAGUCGAUAGACAACAUAAAAUUUCCCUUAUUAAUGGAAAACACUAAGAAGACUAUGUUGCUUAGUACAACAUACAAGAAGUGGAUGUGAUUUACUUUAUGCCAAGACAAGAUAGUUUUAAUAUUUGUGUCCAUACUUGUUGUAUUAAGGACAACCAGAAGGAAUCAUGUUGUUACUGCAGGUAAUUUCUUCUAAACUCUUCCUUUUUUAACUUGAUCAUGUUUUUGUUAUGUUACGGCUUUUGCUUCGAUUCCUGUUGAAGAGCAUGAUUUGGGUGUCUUGCUGAACAAUGUACAUUACAACAACAUGCUAGUCCUGACCCACACCUAAAAAUGUGUUUUUAUUCGGUAGCUUAGAGCUUAUUGGAAGGGUUGCAUUGCUUCUUUUGUCAAUCGAAUCACAAAUAGUGACUUCAUCGUGCUUGUAUGUAAUAAAACUUAUCUUUCGGAUUUUUAUUAUAAUUAUUUUGACUUACGUAUUUCUCACUUUCUUGUUCCUUGGUGUGUUUGUUAGUGAUAUGCUCUUCAAGCCAUAGUAAUUUCUCUGCAAAUUGUCCGACCCCUGUUUUGUUUUUCUUAUAUCUGAACCUAAUCUUAUAGGAAGAAAAGAUGCUAUAGAAGAAAAAGAUGUAUCUUACGUUUGUGUUUUUAGAUCUGAACCCAAUAUCCAUUCCCGAACUUUGUGGUUUGUGCUUAUACAUGUGUAUACCCUUCUUGAUAUAUUUCAAUGUUUUGUGUAGAAUGUGAAUGCUGAAAGUCAAUAUCUUCAUAAUUUGCACCUUAUCUUAUUUCUCCAAUGCUUGUUUAUUGCAGCCGCGGACAAUUUUACCAGCAGUUGGGGUGCUCCAGGUUGUUGCUCGCUGUCUUGUACACAGAGUGAACAACCCGGGCUUUGUCUGUCAUUUCCUUACCCCCACUACUCCUGAUUCCCCAGCCAUUCAACUCCAACUUGGCUGCACGUUGUGAGGGUGACUCAGCGGGGCGAUCCAAAACGAAUUUGUCCGUUCGGGUGAUGAACCGGACACACCAGAGGUUCGUGUCCGGCCUAUGUCCAUUUGGGUCCGUGUGUGAGCCUAGCGGUGCAACCCAUUUAAAUUUAGAACUAGCUAAAUUUCAUUGGUAAUAAACUUCGGGGACUACAUUUAAAUUUAAAAGAACAAAAUAAAAUACUAAACUGUGGGGCCAGGGAGUGGAAAGGUUUGACUCAGCCGGACGUGUGCGGACGCGGUGCUUGUCCGUGUGGACGCAAACCCAGCCCAGAUUUGGGUCCGGAAUGGAUCCAGAUGGACAUUGGACAAAACAACGGAUGUGGGCGAAAAUGGACGCCGCGUUGCCGUGUGGACAGAAAUGGUGUCGGCCGCGCUAAAGUCGCCCUCAGCAUUUGUUCCCCAAGUCAACAGCUAAAACCGAGGAAUCGUUUGGUUCAUGCUCAUUUGGGAGGUCUUAUUCUUGAUUGGAAUAUAGGAGUUUGUAAGCUAUACUGGAAAGUGCAUUCAAAUUUUUAUUUCUAUGUUGAAGUUUUACUCACAUUAGAUGCUUGCUGACAUUUGCAAUCCUCCUUUCGCUAACAAGCUGUGACAUUAUUCUUGGUGAUUCCAUUUAAGAGUGCUCUUAUUUAACAUUAUUUGGAAAGCUUUAUAUCUGAGCUGAUUCAACUUUAGAUUAGGCCCAGACAACUGGUUCUGCUGACUAUCUUCUUUUGUUUGUGUUCGCUAAUUCCAUAUUUGGCUGCAAUGACAUUCAUGAUCCACUUAACUUAGUUUGAGCAGAGUUUUGAUUUGAAAUCCUCAUUAAUCAAUAGGGAUAGCUUCUCAUCCAGUGCAAUCACAAAUGAGGCAUGUCACACCAAAAUUUAUUGUUUCCAACUUGAUGGGGUGGAUUACAGUCAAGAAGUACACUUAAUAUCCAUUCCAUGACCUUUAGUAUAGUCCUUGCCUGUUCAGAACUCCCAUGACAGUGACUUUUAUAUAUUUUUCAAUGCUUGAAAACUUUUGAGUAAUCGUAUUCAUCAUAGAAGCGUGGCUGUAUGUAUUACUUUAUGCACUUUAUUAACCUCAAGUUGUUGCUCCCUGUUUUCUUGCUUUCUCUUGUCUUGGUUUAAUUUUGAAAUGCAGAUCGUCGUAUGCUGGAGGGUAUUCAAGUGGACAUACAUAUAUGGUUGUUAGCAUGCACAUGUCAAAAGACGGUUCUUCGAAUAUCUGCAGGGUCAGUAGUCUUACCAUCAUCCGUAUCAUAUAAGCUGAAGUUGCUUGUCCGAUUUCUGCUUUGUGCAUGUGUAUCUAGAUGAGGAGGAAUUGGGUUUGGAGCGACUUCAUUUAUGUGCAGAGAAAGCACUUUAAAUGUCCAUUUGCACUGACAGUGUGACCCAAAUUUUCACUCUUUAACAAUUUUCGACCGGAUGCAAUCUUGCAAACCUUUUCCUUUUUCAAGAGAGAGUAGCAGUGCAGCACCUGCUUGCCUGCAUUCUAGGCUCUAGCAAGUGAGCGAGGGGGAGCUAGAGCAUCUGCGUGACUGCGUCGGCCGUCUCCAAGUUUGACGCACGUGGUCCAUAUCAACCCAAACCAACCUCCAUCGUCAUCCGACAAAUCAAGCAAAGCAAGCAAGCGGCUGUAAUUAAACCGCACGUGCAGGAGUGAAACUUCUGAGUGAGUUCGUCCGGCCAAGGACAAGCCGCCGACAACGAAGCAUACAUUUUCUCCAUGGACGUUCGGGAGGAUCAGUGGCGGAGCUAGGAUUUUUGCUCAGGGCUCAUCCAGGUUUAAAGUUAGGCUUGAAAGGUUCAAAAGAAGAAGAUUGGAAUCCUGGGACACUAAUCAUGCCCUGCUCCGUCGCGCUACAGCAAGGCGCUAGCGGCUGCUGCUCCUGGCCCAUGAGCCGCCUAUAGGUUUGGCCAGAUUGGGGAGAUUUGGAGUCGACGUCGGGAUUCAGGAAGACGUAUAAGAAGUCGAGGUGUUGUCCUAUCGCUCGGGAAAACAAGGAAGGCGUCCCGUGCGCUGCGCCCCAAAUGCCUAGCACAUCCUAACAGAAGAGACAAGUGUUGUUGGCUUUCUUAUUUUUCGUAUUAACAAUAACACGGGAGGAUUCAGAACUCAAAUCUGUCAGCACAUAGUUGGAGUACAUAAUUCUUGUCAAAAUAUUACAUGUAUCUAGAUUUUUUUAGGAAAGAAUUAUUGGACAGAUUAGUAUUUUUCUACCGCCGAAGAGCGUCCAUCA